GAUGAACGCUGGCGGCGUGCCUAAUACAUGCAAGUCGGGCGGACAGACGAGGAUCUUGCGGCGGUGAGGUGAGCGACGGACGGGUGAGUAACACGUGGAGGGCCUACCUAAAAGACUGGGAUAACUACGGGAAACCGGAGUUAAUACCGGAUAAUAUAUUGAACCGGAGGGGUCAAUAGUGAAAGACGGGCUUGCUGGCACGUAUAGAGGGUACCGAGCCGCAGUACCGAGGUGGUAAGGUAAGGACUUACCAAUUCAACGAUGCGUAGCCGACCUGAGAGAGGGAUCGGCCCCACUCGAACUGAGUCACCGUCCAGACUCCUACGGGAGCCCGCCGUAGGGACUUUUCCGCAGCGGGCGAAAGCCUGUCGGCGCAACGCCCCGUAAGUGAUGAGGGUCUUCGGAUCGUAAAACUCUGUUAUUAGGGAUGAUCAACUGUGUAAGUAACUAUGCACAUCUUGACGGUACCUAAUCAGAAAGCCACGGCUAACUCCGUG
RNAcentral lists this ribosomal RNA (497 nucleotides) under uncultured bacterium. RNAcentral describes it as "partial 16S ribosomal RNA". It matches the Rfam family "Bacterial small subunit ribosomal RNA", at positions 28 to 507 of the family's 1533-position model. The record is from RNAcentral.